RNAcentral lists this ribosomal RNA (253 nucleotides) under uncultured bacterium. Its description in RNAcentral is "partial 16S ribosomal RNA". It matches the Rfam family "Bacterial small subunit ribosomal RNA", at positions 524 to 776 of the family's 1533-position model. The record is from RNAcentral.
GACAGAGGUGCCGAGCGUUGUUCGGAUUCAUUGGGCGUAAAGGGUGCGUAGGUGGCGGGGUAAGUCAGGUGUGAAAUCUCGGGGCUCAACCCCGAAACUGCACUUGAUACUGCCUUGCUCGAGUACUGGAGAGGAGAUUGGAAUUUACGGUGUAGCAGUGAAAUGCGUAGAUAUCGUAAGGAAGACCAGUGGCGAAGGCGAAUCUCUGGACAGUUACUGACACUGAGGCACGAAGGCCAGGGGAGCAAACGGG